This 744-nucleotide ribosomal RNA is filed under the name uncultured Campylobacterota bacterium. Its description in RNAcentral is "bacterial SSU rRNA". It matches the Rfam family "Bacterial small subunit ribosomal RNA", at positions 597 to 1341 of the family's 1533-position model. The record is from RNAcentral. Lineage: Bacteria; Pseudomonadati; Campylobacterota.
AAAUCCUAUGGCUCAACCAUAGAACUGCAUCCAAAACUGAGGGGCUAGAGUCUGGGAGGGGAAGAUGGAAUUAGUGGUGUAGGGGUAAAAUCCGUAGAGAUCACUAGGAAUACCAAAAGCGAAGGCGAUCUUCUGGAACAGUACUGACGCUGAGGCGCGAAAGCGUGGGGAGCAAACAGGAUUAGAUACCCUGGUAGUCCACGCCCUAAACUAUGAAUGUUAGUCGUCGGGAGGCUCGUCCUCUCGGUGAUGCAGCUAACGCAUUAAACAUUCCGCCUGGGGAGUACGGUCGCAAGAUUAAAACUCAAAGGAAUAGACGGGGACCCGCACAAGUGGUGGAGCAUGUGGUUUAAUUCGAAGAUACGCGAAGAACCUUACCUGGCCUUGACAUUGAUAGAAUCUGCUAGAGAUAGCGGAGUGCCCUUCGGGGAGCUUGAAAACAGGUGCUGCACGGCUGUCGUCAGCUCGUGUCGUGAGAUGUUGGGUUAAGUCCCGCAACGAGCGCAACCCUCGUCACUAGUUACUAACGGUUCGGCCGAGGACUCUAGUGAGACUGCCUUCGUAAGGAGGAGGAAGGUGAGGACGACGUCAAGUCAUCAUGGCCCUUACGGCCAGGGCGACACACGUGCUACAAUGGGAUGUACAAUGAGACGCAAUACCGCGAGGUGGAGCAAAUCUAUAAAGCAUCUCUCAGUUCGGAUUGUAGUCUGCAACUCGACUACAUGAAGCUGGAAUCACUAGUAA